Non-coding RNA from Myotis brandtii (Brandt's bat), 75 nucleotides. The record is from Rfam. Lineage: Eukaryota; Metazoa; Chordata; Mammalia; Chiroptera; Vespertilionidae.
GGUGGUUCUCCAGUGACACACCCCGGAAUUAGGCCUCCUCCUCUUUGGUUCCAGAUGUGUCACCCGAGAACCACA